CUGAGUCCCAUUAUGACGUGAAAUCAGAGCCUCCUCGGGGUCCACUGUGAGGAUUCUUGCACUGCCUAGAAAGCUCUGCAGCCGUGAGACAAAUUGCUGCGUGGCAUUAGCACUACAGUGAAGGAUGAAAGUGCACCGAGCAAGGCAAACAAGCAUCCCAUUACAACCGCCACUUAGCAACAAACACAUCUAUUACAGCGGCUGAGCAAGGCUGGAGGGUCUCAAAAACCUCUGCAAUCAAAAGUCAUCAUGACAACCUGACAUGGCAGCUGAGAACAUCAUCAGCACUACAAUACCCAGCGAGACAAGGUUUAAGGACAGCAACCAGCCUACAGCCUGUUCACCCUGCUGCCAUCUGUAAAGCAAUACAAAAGUAUCUGAGCUUCUUCCCUCAACACAAAUGGAGGACUGAGACUCAAACAUCACUUCUCUCAACUAUUGUACCUCUGCUCUACAUAUUGCACUCCAAGUACGGAACUAUCUGGAUAUUUAUUUCCCUUGUUGCCCCUUUGAAAUUACGAAUAAACACGGAGCCCUGUUAUUAUUAUCUGCUCAUGUUCAUUCAGUGCAGAAUGUCACAAUAUUUACAUGACACUGUAACAUGACACAACUGCGCAACUUAACAACGCAGCAGUCAUAGUUUGUAUCUUGACAAUCACUACGCAGCUGCAUUGUUGCCAAAUGUUCACUUAUAUUUCCAGAGUAGCUUGUUAGAUUCUUUAUUUUAACAUUUUUAUGGCAUUUUUUUUAAUUUUAAAAGUUGCAUCUUUUACUUUAUAUUUCUUAUGCUUACUCUAAUGUUUUCUCUACAACUGGGCUACAACUGCAUUUUCCUGCUCCAUGCUGUACUGUUGAUAAUAAUAAAGCUGCCCUUGACCUUGAUGUUGAAAGCGUCUGGCCUGAUAAAUACAGCGAUGAAGCACUCACUGGUGUGUACUGGUGUGGAUAAAGCCAUAAACACGCAUUAUAUCUAAACUACACAUUAUUAUAUAUGAUGCAUUUCAACAAAAUUACUAUUACUAAUUAUUAGUCAUUCUUUGUGACAUAGUCUGUAAUAUUCUAGUCAUAACAAGUAUCCUUUUGCAGCAGUUGAAAUGUUUCCUGUGUUUAUUUUAUGACUUGCCUUGCAAAUGUAAU
Siniperca chuatsi (mandarin fish) is the source of this 1137-nucleotide long non-coding RNA. RefSeq lists it as uncharacterized. NCBI's taxonomy places the organism in Eukaryota, Metazoa, Chordata, Actinopteri, Centrarchiformes, Sinipercidae. The transcript has 3 exons. The record is from RefSeq and is a predicted model, not a curated record.